This is a non-coding RNA of Podarcis lilfordi (Lilford's wall lizard), 69 nucleotides long. NCBI's taxonomy places the organism in Eukaryota, Metazoa, Chordata, Lepidosauria, Squamata, Lacertidae. The record is from the annotation of a GenBank genome assembly.
GCUGUAGCUCAGUGGUAGAACAUCUGACUUGCAUGCAGAAGAUCCCAAGUUUAACCUCUGCCUGAAACU